GAUUAAGUUAUUAAGGGCGCACGGUGGAUGCCUUGGCACUAGAAGCCGAUGAAGGACGUUACUAACGACGAUAUGCUUUGGGGAGCUGUAAGUAAGCUUUGAUCCAGAGAUUUCCGAAUGGGGAAACCCAGCAUGAGUUAUGUCAUGUUAUCGAUAUGUGAAUACAUAGCAUAUCAGAAGGCACACCCGGAGAACUGAAACAUCUUAGUACCCGGAGGAAGAGAAAGAAAAUUCGAUUCCCUUAGUAGCGGCGAGCGAAACGGGAAGAGCCCAAACCAACAAGCUUGCUUGUUGGGGUUGUAGGACACUCUAUACGGAGUUACAAAGGACGACAUUAGACGAAUCAUCUGGAAAGAUGAAUCAAAGAAGGUAAUAAUCCUGUAGUCGAAAAUGUUGUCUCUCUUGAGUGGAUCCUGAGUACGACGGAGCACGUGAAAUUCCGUCGGAAUCUGGGAGGACCAUCUCCUAAGGCUAAAUACUCUCUAGUGACCGAUAGUGAACCAGUACCGUGAGGGAAAGGUGAAAAGCACCCCGGAAGGGGAGUGAAAUAGAACCUGAAACCGUGUGCUUACAAGUAGUCAGAGCCCGUUAAUGGGUGAUGGCGUGCCUUUUGUAGAAUGAACCGGCGAGUUACGAUUUGAUGCAAGGUUAAGCAGUAAAUGUGGAGCCGUAGCGAAAGCGAGUCUGAAUAGGGCGUUUAGUAUUUGGUCGUAGACCCGAAACCAGGUGAUCUACCCUUGGUCAGGUUGAAGUUCAGGUAACACUGAAUGGAGGACCGAACCGACUUACGUUGAAAAGUGAGCGGAUGAACUGAGGGUAGCGGAGAAAUUCCAAUCGAACCUGGAGAUAGCUGGUUCUCUCCGAAAUAGCUUUAGGGCUAGCCUCAAGUGAUGAUUAUUGGAGGUAGAGCACUGUUUGGACGAGGGGCCCCUCUCGGGUUACCGAAUUCAGACAAACUCCGAAUGCCAAUUAAUUUAACUUGGGAGUCAGAACAUGGGUGAUAAGGUCCGUGUUCGAAAGGGAAACAGCCCAGACCACCAGCUAAGGUCCCAAAAUAUAUGUUAAGUGGAAAAGGAUGUGGCGUUGCCCAGACAACUAGGAUGUUGGCUUAGAAGCAGCCAUCAUUUAAAGAGUGCGUAAUAGCUCACUAGUCGAGUGACACUGCGCCGAAAAUGUACCGGGGCUAAACAUAUUACCGAAGCUGUGGAUUGUCCUUUGGACAAUGGUAGGAGAGCGUUCUAAGGGCGUUGAAGCAUGAUCGUAAGGACAUGUGGAGCGCUUAGAAGUGAGAAUGCCGGUGUGAGUAGCGAAAGACGGGUGAGAAUCCCGUCCACCGAUUGACUAAGGUUUCCAGAGGAAGGCUCGUCCGCUCUGGGUUAGUCGGGUCCUAAGCUGAGGCCGACAGGCGUAGGCGAUGGAUAACAGGUUGAUAUUCCUGUACCACCUAUAAUCGUUUUAAUCGAUGGGGGGACGCAGUAGGAUAGGCGAAGCGUGCGAUUGGAUUGCACGUCUAAGCAGUAAGGCUGAGUAUUAGGCAAAUCCGGUACUCGUUAAGGCUGAGCUGUGAUGGGGAGAAGACAUUGUGUCUUCGAGUCGUUGAUUUCACACUGCCGAGAAAAGCCUCUAGAUAGAAAAUAGGUGCCCGUACCGCAAACCGACACAGGUAGUCAAGAUGAGAAUUCUAAGGUGAGCGAGCGAACUCUCGUUAAGGAACUCGGCAAAAUGACCCCGUAACUUCGGGAGAAGGGGUGCUCUUUAGGGUUAACGCCCAGAAGAGCCGCAGUGAAUAGGCCCAAGCGACUGUUUAUCAAAAACACAGGUCUCUGCUAAACCGUAAGGUGAUGUAUAGGGGCUGACGCCUGCCCGGUGCUGGAAGGUUAAGAGGAGUGGUUAGCUUCUGCGAAGCUACGAAUCGAAGCCCCAGUAAACGGCGGCCGUAACUAUAACGGUCCUAAGGUAGCGAAAUUCCUUGUCGGGUAAGUUCCGACCCGCACGAAAGGCGUAACGAUUUGGGCACUGUCUCAACGAGAGACUCGGUGAAAUCAUAGUACCUGUGAAGAUGCAGGUUACCCGCGACAGGACGGAAAGACCCCGUGGAGCUUUACUGUAGCCUGAUAUUGAAAUUCGGCAUAGCUUGUACAGGAUAGGUAGGAGCCUUUGAAACGUGAGCGCUAGCUUACGUGGAGGCGCUGGUGGGAUACUACCCUAGCUGUGUUGGCUUUCUAACCCGCACCACUUAUCGUGGUGGGAGACAGUGUCAGGCGGGCAGUUUGACUGGGGCGGUCGCCUCCUAAAAGGUAACGGAGGCGCUCAAAGGUUCCCUCAGAAUGGUUGGAAAUCAUUCAUAGAGUGUAAAGGCAUAAGGGAGCUUGACUGCGAGACCUACAAGUCGAGCAGGGUCGAAAGACGGACUUAGUGAUCCGGUGGUUCCGCAUGGAAGGGCCAUCGCUCAACGGAUAAAAGCUACCCCGGGGAUAACAGGCUUAUCUCCCCCAAGAGUUCACAUCGACGGGGAGGUUUGGCACCUCGAUGUCGGCUCAUCGCAUCCUGGGGCUGUAGUCGGUCCCAAGGGUUGGGCUGUUCGCCCAUUAAAGCGGUACGCGAGCUGGGUUCAGAACGUCGUGAGACAGUUCGGUCCCUAUCCGUCGUGGGCGUAGGAAAUUUGAGAGGAGCUGUCCUUAGUACGAGAGGACCGGGAUGGACAUACCUCUGGUGUACCAGUUGUCGUGCCAACGGCAUAGCUGGGUAGCUAUGUGUGGACGGGAUAAGUGCUGAAAGCAUCUAAGCAUGAAGCCCCCCUCAAGAUGAGAUUUCCCAACUUCGGUUAUAAGAUCCCUCAAAGAUGAUGAGGUUAAUAGGUUCGAGGUGGAAGCAUGGUGACAUGUGGAGCUGACGAAUACUAAUCGAUCGAAGACUUAAUCAA
RNAcentral lists this ribosomal RNA (2923 nucleotides) under Staphylococcus aureus. RNAcentral's name for it is "23S ribosomal RNA". It matches the Rfam family "Bacterial large subunit ribosomal RNA". The record is from RNAcentral. Lineage: Bacteria; Bacillati; Bacillota; Bacilli; Caryophanales; Staphylococcaceae.